This 763-nucleotide ribosomal RNA is filed under the name uncultured Streptococcus sp. Its description in RNAcentral is "bacterial SSU rRNA". It matches the Rfam family "Bacterial small subunit ribosomal RNA", at positions 28 to 776 of the family's 1533-position model. The record is from RNAcentral. Lineage: Bacteria; Bacillati; Bacillota; Bacilli; Lactobacillales; Streptococcaceae.
GACGAACGCUGGCGGCGUGCCUAAUACAUGCAAGUAGAACGCUGAAGGAGGAGCUUGCUUCUCUGGAUGAGUUGCGAACGGGUGAGUAACGCGUAGGUAACCUGCCUGGUAGCGGGGGAUAACUAUUGGAAACGAUAGCUAAUACCGCAUAACAGUAGAUGUUGCAUGACAUUUGCUUAAAAGGUGCAAUUGCAUCACUACCAGAUGGACCUGCGUUGUAUUAGCUAGUUGGUGGGGUAACGGCUCACCAAGGCGACGAUACAUAGCCGACCUGAGAGGGUGAUCGGCCACACUGGGACUGAGACACGGCCCAGACUCCUACGGGAGGCAGCAGUAGGGAAUCUUCGGCAAUGGACGGAAGUCUGACCGAGCAACGCCGCGUGAGUGAAGAAGGUUUUCGGAUCGUAAAGCUCUGUUGUAAGAGAAGAACGAGUGUGAGAGUGGAAAGUUCACACUGUGACGGUAUCUUACCAGAAAGGGACGGCUAACUACGUGCCAGCAGCCGCGGUAAUACGUAGGUCCCGAGCGUUGUCCGGAUUUAUUGGGCGUAAAGCGAGCGCAGGCGGUCAGAUAAGUCUGAAGUUAAAGGCUGUGGCUUAACCAUAGUACGCUUUGGAAACUGUUUAACUUGAGUGCAAGAGGGGAGAGUGGAAUUCCAUGUGUAGCGGUGAAAUGCGUAGAUAUAUGGAGGAACACCGGUGGCGAAAGCGGCUCUCUGGCUUGUAACUGACGCUGAGGCUCGGAAGCGUGGGGAGCAAACAGG